UAAGACGUAGGGCGCGAGCGUUGUCCGGAUUUAUUGGGCGUAAAGAGCUCGUAGGCGGCUCGUUGCGUCAAUCGUGAAAACCCGGGGCUUAACUUCGGGCUUGCGGUUGAUACGGGCGGGCUGGAGUUCGGUAGGGGAGACUGGAAUUCCUGGUGUAGCGGUGAAAUGCGCAGAUAUCAGGAGGAACACCGGUGGCGAAGGCGGGUCUCUGGGCCGAUACUGACGCUGAGGAGCGAAAGCGUGGGGAGCGAACAGGAUUAGAUACCCUGGUAGUCCACGCUGUAAACGUUGGGCGCUAGGUGUGGGGGGCCUCUCCGGUUUCCUGUGCCGUAGCUAACGCAUUAAGCGCCCCGCCUGGGGAGUACGGCCGCAAGGCUA
RNAcentral lists this ribosomal RNA (378 nucleotides) under uncultured bacterium. Its description in RNAcentral is "bacterial SSU rRNA". It matches the Rfam family "Bacterial small subunit ribosomal RNA", at positions 521 to 896 of the family's 1533-position model. The record is from RNAcentral.